Molecule: ribosomal RNA, 422 nt
Filed under: uncultured microorganism
Description: bacterial SSU rRNA
Rfam family: Bacterial small subunit ribosomal RNA
Source: RNAcentral
GAGUUUGAUCGUGGCUCAGAUUGAACGCUGGCGGCAUGCCUUACACAUGCAAGUCGAACGGCAGCAUGAUCUAGCUUGCUAGAUUGAUGGCGAGUGGCGAACGGGUGAGUAAUACAUCGGAACGUGCCCUGUAGUGGGGGAUAACUAGUCGAAAGAUUAGCUAAUACCGCAUACGACCUGAGGGUGAAAGUGGGGGACCGCAAGGCCUCAUGCUAUAGGAGCGGCCGAUGUCUGAUUAGCUAGUUGGUGGGGUAAAGGCCCACCGAGGCGACGAUCAGUAGCUGGUCUGAGAGGACGAUCAGCCACACUGGGACUGAGACACGGCCCAGACUCCUACGGGAGGCAGCAGUGGGGAAUUUUGGACAAUGGGCGAAAGCCUGAUCCAGCAAUGCCGCGUGUGUGAAGAAGGCCUCGGUUGUAAG